Non-coding RNA from Silurus meridionalis, 426 nucleotides. NCBI's taxonomy places the organism in Eukaryota, Metazoa, Chordata, Actinopteri, Siluriformes, Siluridae. The record is from the annotation of a RefSeq genome assembly.
AUGAAAAGCAGGUUUCAGGUUACCAGAGACACGUCCAGCAACACAGUAACAUUAACAGGACAGAACAUGCAGACUGAAGACACAGCUGUGUAUUACUGUGCUUGUGACCCACACAAUUCUUAUGGACAGUCCCUGAUCUCCAAUGCUUCUGUGGUGAAGAGACCUGGAGAGUCAGUCACUGUGUCCUGUACUGUCUCUGGAUUCUCAGUAAGUGGCUUCUACAUGAGCUGGAUCCGUCAGAAACCAGGACAAGAACUGGAGUGGAUCGGAUAUAUUAAUGAAGGCACCAGGACUUGGUUUGCUCAGUCUCUGCAGGGCCGGGUCUCCAUCACUAAAGACAACAAUAAAAACAUUCUGUACCUAGAAGUUAAGUGUCUGAAAGCUGAAGACACGGCUGUUUAUUACUGUGCACGACGCUCACACUGA